AUGCAAGCGCUCCAGAGAGCGGUCCGGCGGUUCCACGCCACCGCCGGUGCUCCGCCGCUCACCAGAUUUUCUCUCCACGCGCCUAAAUGUGUAGAGGUGGAGUUUGGCAAUGGGAGUGUGUUCAAUUUGUCAGCUGAAUUCUUAAGAGUUCACAGUCCAGCUGUUGAUGCCAAGAUUAGGUCCAUUGCUGGUGAAAAGGUGAUAUCAGGGCGGCGUCUUGUGGGGAUCAUGUCUGCAGAACCUGUAGGAAACUAUGGGGAUUGUUUUCGAUGACUUGCAUAAGACUGGCAUCUAUUCGUGGGAUUACUUCUACCAUCUGGGGAGCAACAAGUUCAGCCUCAUGAGAAGCUAUAUCAAGACUCUCAACAAGUAUGGACUGCGGCGAGAUCCGCCUAGAAGGAAAUGAACUAGGCUUUAAUGCUUUAUGAUCAGUGGCUUCCAAUCCACUUU
Molecule: RNA transcript, 450 nt
Organism: Fragaria vesca subsp. vesca
Lineage: Eukaryota; Viridiplantae; Streptophyta; Magnoliopsida; Rosales; Rosaceae
Exons: 4
Source: RefSeq, a predicted model, not a curated record